This 447-nucleotide ribosomal RNA is filed under the name uncultured bacterium. Its description in RNAcentral is "bacterial SSU rRNA". It matches the Rfam family "Bacterial small subunit ribosomal RNA", at positions 335 to 795 of the family's 1533-position model. The record is from RNAcentral.
ACUCCUACGGGAGGCAGCAGUGGGAAUAUUGCACAAUGGGCGCAAGCCUGAUGCAGCAACGCCGCGUGAGGGAUGAAGGCCUUCGGGUUGUAAACCUCUUUUAGCAGGGAAGAAGCGAAAGUGACGGUACCUGCAGAAAAGCACCGGCUAACUACGUGCCAGCAGCCGCGGUAAUACGUAGGGUGCAAGCGUUGUCCGGAAUUAUUGGGCGUAAAGAGCUCGUAGGCGGUUUGUCACGUCUGCUGUGAAAAUCCAAGGCUCAACCUUGGACUUGCAGUGGGUACGGGCAGGCUAGAGUGCGGUAGGGGAGAUGGGAAUUCCUGGUGUAGCGGUGGAAUGCGCAGAUAUCAGGAGGAACACCAAUGGCGAAGGCACAUCUCUGGGCCGUAACUGACGCUGAGGAGCGAAAGCGUGGGGAGCGAACAGGAUUAGAUACCCUGGUAGGUC